Molecule: ribosomal RNA, 107 nt
Filed under: Helianthus annuus (common sunflower)
Lineage: Eukaryota; Viridiplantae; Streptophyta; Magnoliopsida; Asterales; Asteraceae
Source: RNAcentral
CUUCGAAGGGUUGUUGGUUGUGGAGCACAUGAAAACUACACAGUUAAGCGUGCUCAAGUGAGAGUAGUACUAGGAUGGGUGACCUCCUGGGAAGUCUACAUCGAGGC